RNAcentral lists this ribosomal RNA (484 nucleotides) under uncultured bacterium. RNAcentral's name for it is "partial 16S ribosomal RNA". It matches the Rfam family "Bacterial small subunit ribosomal RNA", at positions 30 to 507 of the family's 1533-position model. The record is from RNAcentral.
AUUGAACGCUGGCGGCAGGCCUAACACAUGCAAGUCGAGCGGAUGAAGGGAGCUUGCUCCUGGAUUCAGCGGCGGACGGGUGAGUAAUGUCUAGGAAUCUGCCUGGUAGUGGGGGAUAACGUCCGGAAACGGGCGCUAAUACCGCAUACGUCCUGAGGGAGAAAGUGGGGGAUCUUCGGACCUCACGCUAUCAGAUGAGCCUAGGUCGGAUUAGCUAGUUGGUGGGGUAAAGGCCUACCAAGGCGACGAUCCGUAACUGGUCUGAGAGGAUGAUCAGUCACACUGGAACUGAGACACGGUCCAGACUCCUACGGGAGGCAGCAGUGGGGAAUAUUGGACAAAGGGCGAAAGCCUGAUCCAGCCAUGCCGCGUGUGUGAAGAAGGUCUUCGGAUUGUAAAGCACUUUAAGUUGGGAGGAAGGGCAGUAAGUUAAUACCUUGCUGUUUUGACGUUACCAACAGAAUAAGCACCGGCUAACUUCGUG